This 631-nucleotide unclassified non-coding RNA is filed under the name Hevea brasiliensis (rubber tree). The record is from RNAcentral. Lineage: Eukaryota; Viridiplantae; Streptophyta; Magnoliopsida; Malpighiales; Euphorbiaceae.
GGGAAACCUUAAAAUUCAGUUUCAACCGCUAGCCCACCACUGCCUUUAUAUGUAUUGUUUGCCUCUAGAAACAGGUCCCAUAUUAGGAUUUCAUUCUUUUUCCAAAACUUUGGUACUUCAUCUCUUUUGGGUCUUCACUGUUUCAGGUUAUUACAAGUUGUACUAAUUUAAGCCCCAUUGAGUGGGAUGAUGGGCUUAGGUUAACUAGAGCAACUUGAAAGGGCAAAAUGAAAGAUGUGAGACAGAGUUCUCUAAUGGUGACCCAUUACUUGCAGGUAAAGGUGAAGAAAUUGUGUCAGAAACCACCAAGGUUUGAGAUCUUUGGAUGCAUCUGAAAGCAAGUUCAAGAUCAAUUCACAUCCAAUGAUGAAACAGUGAAGGCUUCUGCUAGGUUGUAUCAAAUGCUCUUUCACGUAAGACACAAGUAAAAUGGUAGUUUCUAAUGACCUGUAUACUCCAUACGACAAAUACCAAUAAAGCCAGUGUACAAGUUUUGAAGUUUCAUUUAAUAGGAUGAUUUAUAUAAUACAGAAUGGAAGUUUAAAUCUUGAUAUUAAACUAUUCCCUUUUAAACUUCUGACGUGCCUGAGUAAAAAAACAAGGACCCUUUCAGGAUUAAAGCAUAACGAUG